UUUUAUGGAGAGUUUGAUCCUGGCUCAGGAUGAACGCUGGCGGCGUGCCUAAUACAUGCAAGUCGAGCGAACGGACGAGAAGCUUGCUUCUCUGAUGUUAGCGGCGGACGGGUGAGUAACACGUGGAUAACCUACCUAUAAGACUGGGAUAACUUCGGGAAACCGGAGCUAAUACCGGAUAAUAUUUUGAACCGCAUGGUUCAAAAGUGAAAGACGGUCUUGCUGUCACUUAUAGAUGGAUCCGCGCUGCAUUAGCUAGUUGGUAAGGUAACGGCUUACCAAGGCAACGAUGCAUAGCCGACCUGAGAGGGUGAUCGGCCACACUGGAACUGAGACACGGUCCAGACUCCUACGGGAGGCAGCAGUAGGGAAUCUUCCGCAAUGGGCGAAAGCCUGACGGAGCAACGCCGCGUGAGUGAUGAAGGUCUUCGGAUCGUAAAACUCUGUUAUUAGGGAAGAACAUAUGUGUAAGUAACUGUGCACAUCUUGACGGUACCUAAUCAGAAAGCCACGGCUAACUACGUGCCAGCAGCCGCGGUAAUACGUAGGUGGCAAGCGUUAUC
This 563-nucleotide ribosomal RNA is filed under the name Staphylococcus aureus. RNAcentral's name for it is "bacterial SSU rRNA". It matches the Rfam family "Bacterial small subunit ribosomal RNA", at positions 1 to 545 of the family's 1533-position model. Lineage: Bacteria; Bacillati; Bacillota; Bacilli; Caryophanales; Staphylococcaceae. The record is from RNAcentral.